This 699-nucleotide ribosomal RNA is filed under the name Karlodinium ballantinum. Its description in RNAcentral is "LSU rRNA". It matches the Rfam family "Eukaryotic large subunit ribosomal RNA", at positions 70 to 645 of the family's 3401-position model. The record is from RNAcentral. Lineage: Eukaryota; Dinophyceae; Gymnodiniales; Kareniaceae.
UAGGAUUCCCUCAGUAAUGGCGAAUGAACAGGGAAAAGCUCAGUAUGGAAAUUGGGGCCUCUGGCCUUGAAUUGUAGUCUUGAGAUGGCAUUGCCAGCGGAGGCGCAGAUGUAAGCCUAUUGGAAAAUAGCAUCAAUGAGGGUGAGAGUCCCGUUUGUCAUCUGCAGUCCCCCGUGCACGGUGUGCUUUCUAAGAGUCACGUUCCUUGGGAUUGGAGCGCAAAUUGGGUGGUAAAUUUCAUCUAAAGCUAAAUAUUGGUUCGAGACCGAUAGCAAACAAGUACCAUGAGGGAAAGGUGAAAAGGACUUUGAAAAGAGAGUUAAAAGUGCCUGAAAUUGCUGAAAGGGAAGCGAAUGGAACCAGUCUUCUUGGUGAGAUUGGUGCACGCUAUAGUGAUUGCUCGCUGCUUCAACGCAAGUGUUGCAGUGGGUUUUGAUCUUGACGUGUGUGCUGCUUCUUACCUCGUGUGUCAACGUCGGUUCGGAAUUGAGGAAAACUCUAGGGACAUGGUAUCUCUGUUGCGGUGGAGUGAAUGUGCCUGGUAGAACUCAUUUCUUAACUGAUUUCUGCAUGUCUGGUCGCAGUGUUUCAUUACCUGUGUCUGGUUCUGCGCUUGUAGCUUCUGUUGCAGGUUGUGGUUCUGGGCCUGGUCGUGGAGCAUCUCCCUGACAUUAGUACGAUGACAAAAUGGUUUCAUUC